CUACGGGUCGCAGCAGUAGGGAAUCUUCCACAAUGGGCGAAAGCUUGAUGGAGCAACGCCGCGUGAGUGAAGAAGGUUUUCGGAUCGUAAAACUCUGUUGUAAGGGAAGAACAAGUACAGUAGUAACUGGCUGUACCUUGACGGUACCUUAUUAGAAAGCCACGGCUAACUACGUGCCAGCAGCCGCGGUAAUACGUAGGUGGCAAGCGUUGUCCGGAAUUAUUGGGCGUAAAGCGCGCGCAGGCGGUCCUUUAAGUCGGAUGUGAAAGCCCACGGCUCAACCGUGGAGGGUCAUUGGAAACUGGGGGACUUGAGUGCAGAAGAGGAAAGUGGAAUUCCAAGUGUAGCGGUGAAAUGCGUAGAGAUUUGGAGGAACACCAGUGGCGAAGGCGACUUUCUGGUCUGUAACUGACGCUGAGGCGCGAAAGCGUGGGGAGCAAACAGGAUUAGAUACCCUGGUAGUC
This 464-nucleotide ribosomal RNA is filed under the name uncultured bacterium. RNAcentral's name for it is "partial 16S ribosomal RNA". It matches the Rfam family "Bacterial small subunit ribosomal RNA", at positions 339 to 795 of the family's 1533-position model. The record is from RNAcentral.